Molecule: ribosomal RNA, 499 nt
Filed under: uncultured bacterium
Lineage: Bacteria
Description: partial 16S ribosomal RNA
Rfam family: Bacterial small subunit ribosomal RNA
Source: RNAcentral
GACGAACGCUGGCGGCGUGCCUAAUACAUGCAAGUCGAGCGAAUCUGAUGGGAGCUUGCUCCUUGAUGAUUAGCGGCGGACGGGUGAGUAACACGUGGGUAACCUGCCUGUAAGACUGGGAUAACUCCGGGAAACCGGGGCUAAUACCGGAUAACUUUUUUCUUCGCAUGAGGGAGAAUUGAAAGAUGGCUUCGGCUAUCACUUACAGAUGGACCCGCGGCGCAUUAGCUAGUUGGUGAGGUAACGGCUCACCAAGGCGACGAUGCGUAGCCGACUUGAGAGGGUGAUCGGCCACACUGGGACUGAGACACGGCCCAGACUCCUACGGGAGGCAGCAGGAGGGAAUCUUCCGCAAUGGACGAAAGUCUGACGGAGCAACGCCGCGUGAGUGAUGAAGGUUUUCGGAUCGUAAAACUCUGUUGUUAGGGAAGAACAAGUAUCGUUCGAAUAGGGCGGUACCUUGACGGUACCUAACCAGAAAGCCACGGCUAACUACGUG